AUUUGACGUCACCGCGGAGAGGGCGGGAGUUCCGGCGCGUCGCAGCCACACGAUCCGCGCCGGAAACCUUCUUGUAGUCAGCCCCGUAACGGUCGCCCACUAGUUUCAGCCAGUUUCCAAGCGGAAAUAGGUCCCAGCUCGCCCACCGCCCAGGAUUCGCAAGCUACGAGCCUUUGAGUUUCAGGGCUCGGUUUGGACUUUCACAGUCAGAGAUGGAGGCAAAGUCGGAAUCCACACAGGCUCCCGAGUCUUGGUCCUCUCAUCCAGUCUAUGCAAGGUACUGGCAGCAUUACCAUCAAGCCAUGGCAUGGAUGCGCAGCCACCAGAGUGCCUAUCAGAAGGCGGUGGAAUCAGUCGUCCCUUCCCCGUGGUACUACCCAGCCACUGAUCUUGCCCAGAGUCCUGCCGCCAAGGGUGGCACAAGUCCUCAGUCCCAUUCCAAGUCUCCUUCGGCUUCCAGGGAUGCCUGCCGCAGGCGUUCACGUCCCGGCAAGCCGGGACCACAACGACGCAGCACAGAAAAGCCAGCCCGGUUCGCAGAGGACAACGAUAGCGAGUCCGAUGACUGCGGCAUAGUGUGCGACCUGAGCAACAUGGUGAUCACGGAUGAGCUGCGCCAGUACUUCGCAGAGACCGAGCAGCACCAGGAGGAGCUCCGGCGGCAGCAUCAGCUGGAUGCAGCACGCCUGAAAGACUACGUGAAUGCUGACCACGGCCUGUACUGCGACAAGCGCGGCCGCUCCACACUGCCCCCAACCGAGCGGCCUGGAGAGCGGCGCCAGGCUGAGAUGAAGCGCCUGUACGGGGCCAGCGCCGCCAAGAUCCAGGCUAUGGAGACGGCCAUGCAGCUCAGCUUUGACAAGCACUGCGACCGCAAGCAGCCCAAGAGGAAGACAGCCAGAGAUGAGCUUGAAAGUCAUCCAGAAUUGAGAGCCGAGGACAGUGAUUCCCAAACUUGCUCACCUCUGCAGUCUCCUUGGUGGUAGCAAAGGUGUCAUUGAACUCUUACUACAUAUAGUGAAUACUGUUUUGAUAAGAGAAUAUAUUUCAGGGAACAAAAACCUAAAAAUGGAUGUCUCAGUCCACUUAUAAAAGCCAGCUGCCUUUUAAAUAAGUUAUUUUGGUGCGUUGCCAGGGUGAACCACGCUGACCUGCGAAGAUUAGCACAUCCAUCAAAGGUUGGUGAAAAGAUAAGAGUAUUGACAUGUUUCUCCCUUGAAACACUUAGCUGCGCAUUUCAGCCCCUGCCCUGAGACAAAUACAUUACUUUUCCUCAGCCCCAGGUGCUUAUUUUUCCAAGCUCGUGUUUUAUUACUGGAGUACAGUUUGUGCUUGGGUAUUGCAGACAAAAAUCAGAAUUAACUUCCCCUGUGGUGACACGUGACCAAAAUUUCAAAUCUUUAGCGGUUGUCUCUUUUUUUCUUUGAAACCUGUACGCCUAAAUAGAAAAUAAAUGUGAGGCAGAAAUACAAACUGAAGCCUCUAAUUAUGGCAGUUUUCUUGGCAAUUUGAGAGUGAAGUGUUUAUCCUCCCGAAAGAGACUGCUACCUUCCCCUAGAGAAACCCCCAGGUUGGCCCCACCCUUGCCGAUGAGUGCCUUUCACCUCCCAGGCCUUGGUGUUCCUCACUCCUGACGUAGGACUUCAUGAUACCUUGAGAACCACCUGGAGUCAGUGCCUGGAAAACACACAGCGCUGGCCACGUGGUAUAUACACAAUCAAUGCUGAUGCUUAUCUAUUGCCUAUCUUUAAAAAUUGCAAGAAUGCCAACAGAAGUCCUGGCUGUGGAGCUUCUUCCAGAUAAGGGGACAUAUCUCCCUGUCGGCAUUUGGAACAGAUGGACUGGCUCCUGACACCUCAGCCCCACCUGUCCUUCUACCCCGAUGUCCUUUGUGUGAUCACUUGUUCAUUCAUUCACACAGCAGAUGUUUAGUCCUUUCCAUCCCAAUUAGCUGGACCAUGGUCUUUUCCCUUGGGGACAUGGUGGUGGGCACCGAGGGUGGGGGGCACCGCUGCAAGAGCUCAGGAGGGAGGUAAGGGCCGGGCUUCUUAAUUAACCAAAGCGACGUCAACACUUGGAACUGGAUCAUUCUUUCUUCUAAAGAAUCCAUACCAUGGACGCCUAUUUAUGAACUAAAACUGAUUAACUUGGGAAAUACUCACACACACCGGCUUCAGAAUAAGAGUUUGGUUCUGGGCAGUGAGAGGAUUGGAGUCCCCAUCCAGGGGGGUUUCUCUGUCUCUCUGAUGUUUCAUUUCUUUAUAACAAAAGUUAUGGUAGAAGCCAGCUUUCCCCGUCCAGAGGGGUUUCUCUGUCUCUCUGAUGUUUCAUUUCUUUAUAACAAAAGUUAUUGUAGAACCCAGCUUUGAUGGAAGCCCCCAAAAUUCAGCAAACUUCUGACAAAAUCAUUUCUCUUUCAGUUCAUUUCUAGGAUUAACUAUUACAUGAAGUUUUUUAUCAAACUCUUAUAUAGGGCUUUAAGUAAUUGGUGGCUCAGACGGUUAAGCGUCUGUCUACAAUGUGGGAGACCCAGGUUCGAUCCCUGGGUCGGGAAGAUCCCCUGGAGAAGGAAAUGGCAAUCCACUCCAGUACUAUUGCCUGGAAAAUCCCAUGGACAGAGGAGCCUGGUAGACUACAGUCCAUGGGGUUGCAAAGAGUCGGACAUGACUUGACUUCAUAUAGGGCUUACCAGGGGCCACGUACUCUUCUAAUCGCUCUACAAAUACUGAAUUUCUUGAGCAAGCAACCUAUGACAAACCUGUGAAGUAGCUAUUACAGGCAUACAACCUGUUUUCCAAAACUCUUCAAUCAGAUGUGUUUCAGAAUUCAGACAUUGUGGUACUUUGGAAAAGUCAAAUAGCAUAUUAUGGAACUGGUCUCAUUGGGCUGGGGCAGCAGCCUGUCAUCAAAGUCAGUUGUUGCAGUAAAAUGGAAGAAUAUUCUAAGCGGAAUAACACCAUAAAUAUUCCCAGUUCCAUUCACCUCAGGUUUUGUCCUCAUAUCCUUAUAAGUCAAGUUAGGUUUGGCUGCCAAACAAAUUAUUUGAAAACAAUGAAAUAUGACUUCCAGUUUCCAGAGGUUCAGAGAUUUCAGGAAAGUGGUGAAAUAUUAUUUCCAUUUUGCACAUGAGGAAACCAAAGCACAGAAAAUUAACCAGCUUAAGUUCAUUCUCAGUUGGGGAAGAGAGGGUCAAACCUAAGUAUUCUGACUCCUGAACUCCCUACUUUUAGGUGUUUCGCCCUGCUGAGUUCAGCCUCGACAGCUAUAUUCACAACCUGUGUAAAGCACAGUGUAUCCAGAGCAUGGUGAAGAAUCUGGAGCUGAUUACAAUGCUCAGCAAGAUUCCAGUAUGUUCCAUGCUGGAGCACAGUGUUAGACUCUAGUCCUGCUGGAGAAUGUGUGACUCUGGAUAAUGCACUUGUUCUUUAUCUGAAUUUUAGAAUUGAGCCUGUAACCUCGAGAAGAGGGGACACAGUUGAGCUAUUAAGGAAACAGAUGGUCUGUGGCUUGGCGAUUUGGGGCAGGUGAGGAAAAUUGUAGAAUGGUUCAGGUUUCUGUCUUGGAUGGUGGUUCUCAUCACUGAGCUAAACAAAACAUUGAGAAACAGAUUUAGGAAGAAAGAUAGUUAACUCCACUUGGGGUCACAGUGAGUUUGAAGAGCUCACAGGACAUCCAGGGACAUGGUGGCGGUCACCAGAUACUUGGGCUUCAAACUCAGUGGAGAGAGUCGGCAUCAAAAAUACGAACUUCUGGGACUUCCCUGGUGGGGUCCAGUGGUUAAGAAUCUGCCUUGCAAUGCAGCAGACAUGGGUUCAAUCGCUGGUCCAGGAAGUAAGAUCCCACAUGCCACAGAGCAACUAAGCCUGUGUACCAUAACUACUGAGCCCACACACCUAGAACCCAUGCUCCGCAACAAGAGAUGCCAUGGCAAUGAGAGGUCCUCACACCACAAUGAAGAGUAGCCCCCACUCUCCACAACUAGAGAAAGCCCGUGUGCAGCAACGAAAGAAGCUGUGCACUGCAACAAGUGUAACCCCCAAAUAUAAAUAUUAAAAUUAAUUUAAACAAAACAGUAAUAUUCAAAAAAAUACAGACUUCUGAGUCCUCAGCCUUAGGAAUAUGGAAAGGGAGACCACAUAUAGACUCUUAGGAAUGGACCACUGACAGUGGGGCCCUGAAGACAAUGACUUUAACCCACAGAUACAGAAGAGUCUGAAGGGAACUGAGAGAAAUGGCAAAGACAAAAAGGGAGAAAAUCAGGAGCUAGAAGUGUCUCUAAAGAGAAAAUUACAAUUGGAAAAGCUGGACAAUACGCCUUCUAUUGUGAUGCUUUAGGAAGUUGACUUCCCCACCAAUGAAGUAUUUUUUAAAAUAUAUGUGUAUAUAUAUAUAAUUAAGAUAAAUAUAGAUAAAUUGAGUUAUGUAUCAAACAUACUGGAAAUAUUUUGCAAGUAUGAAAACAAUCUCAUAAAGACUCUACAUCUAAUUUCCAAUUUAUAGGAAGUUCAAAGACUAGACUAACAUAAGACUCUGUGAAGACAAUGAACCAAAUCCAGAAUUGUGAAAUUUAAUGACAGAAAACCCAGUUUCUUCAGCAAAUGGACUUUUAUGAAGUGUGUGUUGGAGAAGGGGUCAUGGUGCAUAAGGAACUGUCAAUAAAAUAUUUUUAAAGUUCUGAUCUGUUGAAGACAAAACUCCACAGUUGAACUCAUAUGAUGUCUGGGGUUUCCUUUAAAGAAUGUGUCCCAAUGGCAGAGCAUGUGAGAGAGAACACAGUGGGCAAAAUGCUGACAAUUGUUGAAGUAGGGUGAUGGAUACAUGGAAGUUCGUAAUGCUUUUAUCUGUAGCUUUAUGUUUGAAAAUUCCAUAAUAAAUUUUUAGAAAAUGAAAUGGAAUUUGGAGGAAAGAGAUUAACAGUAUUGUCACAGAAAGUUCUGGUAAAUUAAGAAUAGACUAGUAGAGUUUGGCUUAACAAUCUAGAAACCACUGUAACCUAAAGGGCCUUAAAGCAAUUUCAGUGGAAAGGUGGGGAAGAAUACCAGUUUAUAUCAAAAGCUAAGAUCUUGGGGUUGGGGGAAGACUGCAGCAUGUCAAAGGGACGUGGGAGCCAAUCUGAAAGAUCUCCCAGUGGCCAAAUGGAACAAUUGAAGCAACAAAAUCUAUAACAGAGAAUUGGAUUAUAACCCAAAGUAUAAAAGAGAUAUACAUGACUUCAUACUGAUAAGUGAUUGUAUAAUAAAGGAGGAGAAGAGACAAAUCUUCCAGAAUUCUAAAUAAUGGCUGUAGAUCCUGCCCCUUCUAGAGGUCUGACCUUACUCUUCCUCCCCUCCUCUUCCUGACCUUCUCCCUCCCCAAAGAACAGGGAAGAGAAAAGGGGAAAUAACAACUUUCAGUGGAAAAGCUUCACCAACACCACAUUAUGCACAUGCUCAAGGUCAGCAUCGCUGGUGGUAAGUUCUUCGGGUACCGUGCUACCAUGUGCUACUACCUGAUGUCUCAGAACCUGUAACCCCAGUCUCACCAUGAGAAAACAUCAGAUAAAGUGAAAUUGGGGGACAUUCUAGAAAAUACCCAACUGGUCCUCUUCAAAACCCUCAAGGUCGUGAAAAGCAAAGAAAGAUGAAAACUGUCAGAGGAGACCAAAGAGACAUGAAGACGAAUUGCAUCAUGGGAUUCUGGUUGGAUCUUGGAGCAGAAAAGGGGCAUUAUGUGGGGAAGAUGGUGAAAUCCACAUCAAGUAUGCACCAGCGUUCAUUUGACAAAUGGCCCAUGGUUAACCCUAAUUAUGGAAGAAACUGGGUGAAAGUUUACAGGAACCAUAUUAUCUUUACAACUUUUCUAUAAAUCUAAAAUAAUUCUGAAAUAAAAAGGGGUUUAAAAUAAAAAUAGAAAUUAAGUACAGGUUUUUCUAAAGAAAGAAUUUACAAAGCCUCUUUCCUUACUUCUGAGUGCUGUAGAAUCUGGCACUAGGACACCAGAAUGACACGGCCGAGGGCAAAGGUGAGGACCUGACCUUUUAUUAGGUACCUGAUGUAUGUAGUGCUGGGCAAUCUAUAUACAUUACCUGCCUGUUUCUCCUAACAACCUGAAAAAGCAGCAUCCCCAAUUAUCUAAAGAGCAAAUUGAUUCAAACUAAGAAGAAGUAACAUGCCUAAUGGCUGGGAGGUUGAAUGGAAAUGGUGAGGGGUGACUGCAAAUGGGAGCAGGGUUUCCUUUUGAGGUGAGGGGACUAUUUUGGAACUUGGAAGAGAUGGUGAUGAUGCAAUACUGCAAAUGUACUAAAUGCCACUGCAUUGUUCACUUGAAAAUGGUUACUUUUAUGUGAAUUUCAGCUCCGUGAAAAAAGGUGCAAUACUUACUAAAAAGGUUGAGAAGCUGUGGUCUGGGGAUGGUGAAAACACCUGGAGAGUGAUGUGCAGAAAUCACAUGGUAUAUCGUGUCCAACGAUCAGGGAAAAAUUACAGGGCACAUCAAAAGGCAAAAAGCACAGUUUGAAGAGACAAAGCAACCAUCAGAACCAGACGUAACAGGAACAUAGGAAUUAUCAGCCCAGGAAUUUAAAACAACUCUGAUGCAUAUGCUAAUAGCUCUAAUGGAUAAAAUAGAAAACAUUUAAGAACAGCUGGGCAAUGGAAGCAGAGAGAUGGUAAUGCUAAAAAGAAAUGCUAGAGAUCAAAAAACACUGGAACAGAAAUGAAGAAUGCUUUGAUGGGCUUAUUAGUAGACUGGACACAACUGAGGAAAAACAACUCGGAGCAGGAGGAGAGAUCAAUAGAGUCCUCAAACACCAAAAAGCAAAGAGAAGACUGAAAAAAAGCAAGAACAUAAUAUGCAAGGUCUGUGGGACAACUGAAAAAGGUGUACAUGCAUACUCAAUCAUGUCUGAGUCUUCACAAUCCAUGGACUGUAGCCCACCAGGCUUCUCUAUCCAUAGGUGUAACAUACACGAAAUUGGGAAAACUAAAACUUGGCAUAUCAUCUUCAAAUUACAGAAAAUCAAAGAUAAAAUCCUGAAAGAAGCUAGAAGAUAAAAACAGCUUUCCUAUAAAGAAACAAAGAAUUACAUCCAAAUUCUCUGCAGACACCAUGCAAACAA
This is an RNA transcript of Bubalus bubalis (water buffalo), 7096 nucleotides long. It is a transcript of the gene named gem nuclear organelle associated protein 8, with no coding region annotated. NCBI's taxonomy places the organism in Eukaryota, Metazoa, Chordata, Mammalia, Artiodactyla, Bovidae. The transcript has 7 exons. The record is from RefSeq and is a predicted model, not a curated record.